RNAcentral lists this ribosomal RNA (440 nucleotides) under uncultured bacterium. RNAcentral describes it as "partial 16S ribosomal RNA". It matches the Rfam family "Bacterial small subunit ribosomal RNA", at positions 338 to 795 of the family's 1533-position model. The record is from RNAcentral.
CCUACGGGCGGCAGCAGUGGGGAAUAUUGCACAAUGGGCGAAACCCUGACGCAGCGACGCCGCGUGAGUGAAGAAGUCUUUCGGUAUGUAAAGCUCUAUCAGCAGGGACGAAAAUGACGGUACCUGCUGAAGAAGCACCGGCUAACUACGUGCCAGCAGCAGCGGUAAUACGUAGGGGGCAAGCGUUGUCCGGAGUGAUGGGGUGUAAAGGGAGCGGAGGCGGCAGGUCAAGUCUGGAGUGAAAUGCCGGGGCUUAACACCGGUACGGCGUUUGAAACUGUUCAGCUAGAGUGCAGGAGAGGUAAGUGGAAGUCCUGGUGUAGCGGUGAAAUGCUUAGAUAUUAGGAGGAACACCAGUGGCGAAGGCGGCUUACUGGACUGUAACUGACGCUGAGGCACGAAAGCGUGGGUAGCAAACAGGAUUAGAUACCCGGGUAGUC